GAGUUUGAUCAUGGCUCAGGAUGAACGCUGGCGGCGUGCUUAACACAUGCAAGUCGAACGAACCUUCGGGUUAGUGGCGGACGGGUGAGUAACGCGUGAGAAUCUGCCCUCAGGAGGGGGAUAACGGUUGGAAACGACCGCUAAUACCCCAUAUGCCGCGAGGUGAAAUGAAUUUCGCCUGAGGAUGAGCUCGCGCCUGAUUAGCUAGUUGGUGUAGGUAAAGGCUCACCAAGGCAUCGAUCAGUAGCUGGUCUGAGAGGAUGAUCAGCCACACUGGGACUGAGACACGGCCCAGACUCCUACGGGAGGCAGCAGUGGGGAAUUUUCCGCAAUGGGCGAAAGCCUGACGGAGCAACGCCGCGUGAGGGAUGAAGGCCUCUGGGCUGUAAACCUCUUUUAUCAAGGAAGAAGAUCUGACGGUACUUGAUGAAUAAGCCACGGCUAAUUCCGUGCCAGCAGCCGCGGUAAUACGGGAGUGGCAAGCGUUAUCCGGAAUUAUUGGGCGUAAAGCGUCCGCAGGCGGCCCUUCAAGUCUGCUGUUAAAAAGUGGAGCUUAACUCCAUCAUGGCAGUGGAAACUGUUGGGCUUGAGUGUGGUAGGGGCAGAGGGAAUUCCCGGUGUAGCGGUGAAGUGCGUAGAUAUCGGGAAGAACACCAGUGGCGAAGGCGCUCUGCUGGGCCAUCACUGACGCUCAUGGACGAAAGCCAGGGGAGCGAAAGGGACUAGAUACCCCUGUAGUCCUGGCCGUAAACGAUGAACACUAGGUGUCGGGGGAAUCGACCCCCUCGGUGUCGUAGCCAACGCGUUAAGUGUUCCGCCUGGGGAGUACGCACGCAAGUGUGAAACUCAAAGGAAUUGACGGGGGCCCGCACAAGCGGUGGAGUAUGUGGUUUAAUUCGAUGCAACGCGAAGAACCUUACUAGGGUUUGACAUCCUGCGAAUCUCUUGGAAACGAGAGAGUGCCUUCGGGAGCGCAGUGACAGGUGGUGCAUGGCUGUCGUCAGCUCGUGUCGUGAGAUGUUGGGUUAAGUCCCGCAACGAGCGCAACCCACGUCUUUAGUUGCCAGCAUUUAGUUGGGCACUCUAGAGAGACCGCCGGUGAUAAACCGGAGGAAGGUGUGGAUGACGUCAAGUCAUCAUGCCCCUUACAUCCUGGGCUACACACGUACUACAAUGCUACGGACAAAGGGCAGCAAGUUCGCGAGGACAAGCAAAUCCCAUAAACCGUGGCUCAGUUCAGAUCGUAGGCUGCAACUCGCCUACGUGAAGGAGGAAUCGCUAGUAAUCGCAGGUCAGCAUACUGCGGUGAAUACGU
This 1315-nucleotide ribosomal RNA is filed under the name unidentified marine bacterioplankton. Its description in RNAcentral is "bacterial SSU rRNA". It matches the Rfam family "Bacterial small subunit ribosomal RNA", at positions 9 to 1371 of the family's 1533-position model. The record is from RNAcentral.